AAGAGAUGGAAGUGAUAUGAUCCUGUCUUUUGUAACAUUAUAAGUUUGUCUCUUUUGUACUCUAGUUCUCGAGAGUUCUUUAUGAUUUAUGUGUGCCGUAUUGUACCUAAAAAGAGAACUGGAGGCUGGAUGUAUCAGUGGUCUGUCAAUAGCUCCAGUUUUACAUGAUCUGGGUUAUAGUUCAUCAGCUAUCAGAGUACAAUACAUAUGUAUGACUAAGUAUUAGUGCUGCAAUUAUGCUUCAGUGUUAGGCAUUUCAGCUUCCUUAUUCAUCUCUGGUAUUUCCCUCAUCACAUCAAGCCUUGUCACGUGACUGAAGAGAGAUAAUUCAUCAGAUUGUAGCUACAGAAUUUCUCACGUAUGAGCUUUAUUCACAGCAAUGCUGCCAAAACAAAGUCUGACAAAAUUUAUUCACAAUAUUAUCACUUAUACACAUCUGAUGUCUAUUACUCAUCUUAUUAUACACCUUUUUUUAUAUAAAUCUUAUCAUACACUUAUUUUGACUUACUAUGUUGGGUAUAUGAUAUAAGUUUGUCUAUAUAUAGCUUCUUGCCUAACGGUGAGCUUGAAGUAGAAUGGUAGGUCUAUGUUGGUUGUCUGUAGAAGCCGACACCUUGUGUAUACUGAGCGUAGGCCUCCGAUUGCAUGCCGAUUGGGGCGCGGAUGAUUUGAUCUGGGACAUCGAAGGCGUCGACAAGUUCUCGAGCCACAAGCCUCACCUGGUAACUGAGGUAGUCUACCAGUUUAUGGAUAGCCUGCAAGCAUACAGAGGAGCAUAGCAUCAGGUCCUGGUUCUGGUUCUGGUUCUGGUCUGAAGCUAAGAACUGAAACUGCAAUUGUGUGCCAUGGGGUUGAGAAGCAGAUGCAAACCUUGGCUUUGUUUGGCGCGACAUAGUCUACAUUCCGAUAUGUCCCGAUGUCUUUCCAGAUCCUUUCAAGCGCAUAAAGGUCGCAUACCAGCUUCAGUACUUCGCGUGUUUUUUCGUCAGGGCAACUGCAUAGACAAAUCACAAGUCAUUGUCGUCGCUUUAACUUCACUGGAUAAAGUGAAAAGGGUUACGCACAACAUCUCAAUGGUGAGUAUGCUUUGGUAGUUCAACUUUAAUUCUACAACUCAAGCACAAAUAAUCAUGAUCGACGGGUUGGAAAAUGCAGUCAGGGAGAUGGGAGGAUUCUUCUGUGCUUUCACCGAUAGCAAGUCUCAACCAAACAAAUCUUCCUAGUAACUAUGCUACAAAAUCUUUACUUCUAAACUAAAUAGUGUGUGGAGCUAACUAGCUACUAGUAAGCAAUGAUGGUAAGAAGAAUGUAACUGAGGACAAGUAAUGGCACAAAAACUAUACCUCUUCACUGCUUCUAUAAACCUUGCGAGGAUGACAGACUCAAUGUGUGACUCUGCCAGUGUGAGCAGAUGGUUUAAGCAUCUGUUCCAUGCACCAAAACCUCCGAGUGUCUUCAUGUGCUUCUGGAGUCGAGCAGCAACACUAUGCAGGAGUCUAGAUGUUCGGUACUGAGAAGAGAGUUUAAGCAAUCAGUACAGGACUUCUAUCCAAUAGCAACUGAUGUUAUUACGAAGACAGAACUCACUCUGAAUGCAUCCAGCUGAAAUUUAGGAUCCCUGAGAUGAUCUUCCCCUUCCCACCGAGCAGUAACAGGAUUAGGCUGGGACAAGUAGGUGUUCAUCGAGUCUCUCAAGUAGUUCCAGGUGACCGAGAGUGUUCCUCCCUUGAAUUUUUGCUGAUAUUGCUUCAGGAGAUCUCCAGCAACCUACAAUAUAUAGCAUCGUGAUAAGAGGUACUGUACAAUAUUUGAGCCAUGCCCAUCGAAUAUCGUAAUGAGCUUUGUAGAGGAUUCUGAUUGGUACCUGCUGCAGCAGAACUGUGUUGUCUCCUUCGAAUGUUUGAAAUAUAUCAUGGUCAUUCCGCAGACCACCAAAACGAUUUACAGCAGCAUACCCAUGGCCACCACACGAUUCUCGGCAUAUGCUGAUAGAUUUUGCCGUGUAUGAAGUUAUGUAGGAUUUCAACCCAGACGAAAGUACAUGGACAUCAGCGGUAACAUCCUCGUCAUUGGUUUUCUUCAUUUCCGAGUACAUAUCUACCAGAUACGCUCUGGCAAAAUGAAAUGCAUACGCUGAUGCCAGCAUAGGCAUUAGUUUGUGCUGGUGAGACUGGUAAUCCAGCACACUGAUUUCAGGCUCCUUAGGUGGACCAAACUGUUGACGCAGUAAAGCAUAUCUAACAGCAAUGGUUACUGCAACUUUGAGUACUCCCACAGAACUAUAUGCAAGCCCAACUCGGCCCCCAACAAGCUCACCAAGGGUUGCGGCAAAUCUUCUAUUAAUCGUGGGGAGGCUGCUUGUGUAUUUUCCAUCUCGCGCCACAUCACCGAAUCGGUUCAGAAGGUUGUCACGGGGUAUCCUAACUGAACAGAACCUCAGGGCACCAUUAUCUACACCAUUUAGGCCUAUCUUGUGCCCACAAUCAUUGAUCUCAAUUCCAGGGAGAACAGCAUGGGUUUCAAGGUCCCGAAUCGGGACAAUAAAUGCAUGAAUUCCCAUGUCAGCAGGUUCCCCUCCUUUCCCCUGAAGCGGUAGAAUUAACCUCGCAAAAACAGUGGCGAAUUUUCCAUGAAGAGCUGCAUUGCCAAUCCACCACUUAAUGGCUCCAUCAUUUGGGGUAUCAAUAAUGAACUCGUCAGUAACUGGAUCAAAUGUAGCAGUGGUCUGUAGGGCUUGAACAUUGGAUCCUGUCGAAAAGCAACAAACAGAAAUGAAAAUAAUCUUUUCAAACUAUUGUAAACAGCGUUUUAGGUGGUGGGUACAAGUCGGAAUAGAGAGUUAAACUGCAAAUUAAUCAAAGUACCAAACAGGAAAUCAGAAAUACUGGUGAAACAAUUAAAUAGAUAAUCUAACCAUGAUGCAGUUCUGUCAUAGCAAAACAGCCUGGAUACUCCAAAUUGUCGAUUUUGUCGAAGUACUUUUCUUUGUGCUUCUUGGUUCCCAAAUUUACUACAGAACCCCCCCAAAGACUGCGUUAACAAGCAGGCAAGUUAGUGGAUAUAUAACAAUGGGCAGACAAGGAAAACUACCCCAGCCAAACUCCCAUCUUACUAAAAGAAAAGGGGAAAUUCCAGACUCAUAAAAGGUGCAGUGUUUGAGGUUGUAUGAAAUGAACCACCAACCAAACUCCACAUGCAUGUACACCCUAAAUAAUCCCAAAACCCAAAAUAAAUCGUGACUACGAAAAAUGUGGACAUAAAACGCUUGACAUUUCACAAUAGAAGUUGUGCACGCAAGCAUCCAUGUAGCUUUGGGCAAUCAAAUGAAUCCUAAACUAACCAUAAUAGAAGUUGUGUAGCAGCCAACCAUAGUAAUCAAGAGCUAAUGCCGCUUCUUUCAUCACAACAAUCAAUCAGGCCCACACUGUUGCAGCGAAAAGUACUUGCCUCUGUUUUCAGAGUCACUGUCACUCAUAAAUCAUAAGUACUUGCCUCAAUAAGGAGUGCAAUUGCAAUCUAGCCGUACAUGAAUUAGGUUGCAGUUACUACCAACAGAUCCAAGCCCCACACUCACAAAUCACAUUAACCAUGCUAACAUGCCAGAAUCCUUGUGAAUGCGAUAAUCAGUACGGCCGUGGUCAGUAUGAUGAGGCGUGUUGUGUUAUUCACAUUCAAAAGAGUAAAACAAAACGAUUUUAGUUACUGAUGACACCGACAGUCAAAUUACCAAUUGAUCCAUGGAUAUAGUUCGCAGUUCCCCUCGUAGCAUCACAUCAAGCAAGGGAAAGUCGUACACUCUAUCCCACACGUACUCAUCAAGCAAUUAUGUAAGCCCUCUCGUUGACUACCAACUAACAAUCCCCAUAUAUAUAUGAAACAUAUGGAAGCAAUUAAGAAUUGAGCUGUGUUCUUUACCAGUUUAUUUUGUGAGGGAAUCACUGAAUUACCAGUAAAUUAACGCGGUAUAAUUUUUUUUUAAAAGGUGAACCAACCUGUACUGUACGCCGACCUUGAUGGCGAGGGAGAUGUCGACCCCGCCGACGGCCUCCAUGACGGCGAAGUACUCGGCGGGGUCGGCGGCCAUGAGGCUGAGCGGCCGCACCCCGGCCUCCCGCACGAGCGCCGCCAUCUGCCGGAAGCAGAGGUCGCGGUGGGCGGCCAUGGGCAGCUCCACGGGGGUCUGGAGCUCCGGCCGCGCGACGUAGAACUCGUACACCCGCGCCUGCAUCUUCCGGUGCCGCCCCCGGAGGUACGCCGUGAGCGCGGCCGCGUCCGCGUCCAGGCCCCCCGCCCGCCGCUUCCCCGCGCACGCGGCGGGGACCAGAGAGCCGCCCCCCUCGGGAGCGGGCUGCAGGAGGUGGAGGGAGAGGCGCCGGAGGCGGCGCAUCGCCGGCGUCGGGUCCUCGUCGUCGGAGCCGUGGCGGACGGAGCGGGACGUGGUGGCCAUGGCGACGUCGGGCGGUGAGGCGUUGGACGAAGCGUGCGCGCGCGGGCCGGGGCGGGGGUGUGGGUGGGAAAGCGAAGGCGAAGUUAGUCGGUGCCGUUACGUUAGGACGUUUGCUUUAAUGGAGUCCAACGGGAGGCUCAUCUUUCAGGUCGGCCCCUGUAAAUAUGUGGUAUUAUUAAUUUUGCAUCUCGAAUCCACGUGUUCACAUGUUUUUAAAUAUAAAACGGUUGUGUAACGUAAAAUGCACACCAUCUUAUGAGUUUACACAUGUCUUUUACCAUGUAAACACCGAGUAUAAUAUAGGCACACAUACUCACAUGAUAUAUAACAAAGAUUAUAGUUAUGGACUUAAGAUUGACAAAAUCACGCCAGUUCUUUUGGGGGAUUCUACCAGAAUCUCCCCCCCUCCCCAGCUUCUCUCAGAAUCGUCACUCCAUAUGUUUUUACAAUCCUAGCUAAUUAGAUCUUAACUAUAUAGGAUUGUAAAAAAAAUAUGUUGUGGCGAUUCUAGGAGAAGCUGGGGAGGGGGCGUUUCUGGGAGAACCGCUCAAAAGAACUGGCUCAUAUGACGUUUUGGUAGGCAUGGUACAUAUCUGCCUAAUUAAGAGCAUCAUUUGUCCGACCCAACAAGGGUGACCCCCUUUACCCCCUCCUCAAAUGCAUGCAAGCCAUGCAACAUCGAUGAAAACAAAUGACAUAGGUCAUAGCACAUUUAACAUAGUUCAUGCAUAGGACAAAAUAAUACAUAGUUCGACAACAAAAGGACAUAGCACACAACACAUAGUUUAUACCACUAUGACAUACUACAUUCAAAAUGAAUUCAAUUGAUCUUCAUUUUCCCUUUCCCUUCUUCAUAGUGGUAGGAGAGCUCUUUAGGAGCAUCUUGGCGUUCUUGCGGCUACGGCGGCAGGCACCAAUUCUUUGGUGGUCAAUGACUGGGGUCCAUGUUGGAAUCGAACAACACCCGCAUUGAAGCAGAAAGUGAUGUGAUGCCGCUAGCUCUGAGUUGGGUUGCCCGCACUGCAGACUCACAAUAGUCGCCGCUGUUGCAUCCGCUUGAGCCGCGGACAAAGUAGAUGAGAGCGACGAGGGAGGGCGGCGGGUCAAUAGCCACCGCCGGGAUGGCGGGGACGGUCUACUGUUGCUGGACAUGCGACACUAUGAGUCGGUAGCACUGCCGUUGAAUCCGCGAUAGAGUGAGUUGGACGGACCGCCGCUGCUAGACCCACGCCGAGCCAGCAGAGAAGACUCAUGGUUGCUGGAUCCGCACAGGUAGGGCAUUCCACGUCUCGACCAAGGACCAACAGAGGCCAAUCCGCCCGACGAGCUCCUCGUCAUCCUCCAUCGGGAGGAGGUCCCACUUGAUACCAUUGUCUUUGAUCCAGACCUAGACAUGGCAACGAGGACGGCUAGGGUAUGUGGAGGGGAUGGGACUGUAGAGGAGAGUACAGAGAGGAGAGUGAGAGUGAGCUAGGCUUAAGGUUUGCCUAUGGAUGGGGUGGAGGGGAUUUUGUGGGGUCUCGAUUGGGCCAAAAAAUGUCUAGUCCGACCUGAUGGACAUGCCCGGACAAGGUCUCACAUUUGGACUAGGCCUAGGGUGGUUUGAACUAUCCGGACAUAUAGGGACGAUUUGAGGAGGCCUAUUGAGUCGCUGAUUUUUGUCUGAACUUACCAAAGGGUGAUGGUGGAGGUUCCUUACGAUCAAAGUGAGCCAUCACUCCCCCACCCCUCACUCUAGAAAGAUACUUAAAGAGUCAAUUACACCAUCGGUGCCACAACUUGGCAUGAAAAAUCAAUUUAGUGCUAAAACUUGCGGCAUACAUUGAACUGGUGCCAUAACUUGGCUUUGACGUACAUAUACAGUGCAAAUCACGUUUCUAUACGAACAAGAUGCUGAUUAGGCACGCCAAUGUGGCACGGGGCCUGCUGUCAACGACUGGCGGCAAAGUGGGCAUGUGGCCUGCUUUUUUGCAAAAAAUAAACCUCGAAAUAUUGUUCUCACGAAAAAAUACUAUGCCAUGGCUGCAAGGGUCCACUUGUCAGCCUCCCACAAAUAAAUGAAAAAUUGGUACGUGAGGGGCUCAAACAACUGACCUGUAGCUAGCAGCAGCGCAAGUAUAACCACCUGACAAUCAGCCACAUUUAUUAUAACUGGAUGCUGCUGUUGUAUAUUUUUUGACUGCUACUAACUAGGUUGCAGUCCCUACAUCUCAUUUUGCACUUCUCUUUUCAGAAAUUUAUAGAAUAUAUGUCAAAUAUAAUAGUGCGUUAUAAAUAAUAUAUAUGUAUAAAACAAUCGUGUAUGGAUUUAGUAUUUAUCCAUAUAUCAAAUUAUGAAGUACAAAAUUGUUUAUGUAAUAAUUUGCAUAUUGAAUAAGAACAUAUAUUCGGUAAAUUCUUAUAUAAGUUUAAAAGUGUUCACAGUUUCAUCCAAAUAUUUAUGUAAUAUACUACAAAAGUUUCGUGCUUAAAGUAAGUGUUUAUAAGAGUUUAAAAAUGUUCACUAUUAAAAAGAAAUCAUGUUAUGUAUAAAAGUGUUCAUGCUUUAAGAAAGUUUUUUAUUUUACUAUAUAUUUUCAUAAAAUCUUAAAUAAGUUUUAAAAUAUUCAAAGUUUUAACAAAAUAUUAACGUAGUAUAUAAAAGUGUCAUGCUUUAAAAACAUAUAUUCAUAUAAUGUAAAAAUAGUUGGCUGGGAUUAGAAGCAGUGAUAUGUGGCACAUGCCACCAUGUGUGAGUGGCCACCACACCCCCAACAACGUUACUUUUUUUAGGAAUUUAUAAAAUAUAUAUUUUAUUUCAAUAAAUGCUAAUAGAAGUUUAGAAUGUUCAUGACUUAAAAAAUAUUAGUAUAUGAAAGUUUUCACUGUUAUUUUUAAAUUUAUUUUUUUUGACGGCAAAAUAAAUAAAUUUAAAAAUAACAGUGAAAACUUUAACGCGUGGUUACUAUUUAUAUGUAAUUUUUUUUACAAAAAUAACAGUGUAAACUGGGUCGCUGGGACUCCAGUCCUAGAACGUUUGUAUGCUUUUUGUAUGAGUUAAUCACAAGUAAUGAUGCUGGAUGUAUUUGUUUGGCCGGCGGUACUGCAUACCUCAGGUCAGGUGAUCGAAUACCUGGAUGACAAUUUUUGCACAAUAGCCCCCAUCUGCGAGAAAAAUAUGGGUCGCUACCAGGUGCUUUUUCAUGAGAAAAAAAAUAUACCAAUGGUUUUUCUUGCUCAAAUAGCAGACACACGUUGUCCAGUCGCGCACAUCAGCAUGCCUAAUCAGCACCGUGUUCGUAUAGAAACGUGAUUUGCACCGUAUAUGCACGUCAAAGCCAAGUUAUAGCACCAAUCCAAUGUAUGCCGCAAGUUUUAGCACUAAACUGACUUUUCGCGUCAAGUUGUGGCACCAUUGGUGUAAUUGACCUAUACUUUUGAUUGCUCAUUUGUAUUUUUAGUCCCAUCAAUGUUUUCUGUCAAGCUCUGGCACUGCUAAUAGGAACAUUGUUUCCCACAUGAAGAAUAAUUAAUUGCAACAAGACGCACGGCGUCAAAUCUGCGGUUCAAUAGCUGGUGGAUUAGAAGUAAAACUAUCCAUUCGCAUAUUAUUUUUAACGUGUGCAAUUCACAAUUUUACGUAAUUAUGGGAUCCAUCAUUUCAUUUCAAGCACUCUUGUAGUCUUUCUUUAGAAAUAGAUGAUCUCGUAAACAAUGUCAUGGUUCUCAUCCACGACAUACUCUAUUUUAGUUGUAACUUUUUUGCGAGGAUCCAUUUUUAUCUCUCAAAAAAUGAAGUCGCCCAUCUACAAAGAGUAACAAUAUAUUUGGCUCACACGAGGAGCCAUGUGUUCACGUGCGGAUCCGACAUUUGGUUGCCGUCACCGGUCGUAGUUGUCAGGCUGAAUUGCGGUCAUCGCUAAGUUGCAAUGAAUGUCGAAUGUGCUAUGAGAUUAUUGUGAACCAUGGCAACAUCCAUAUUUUCAACCAAUAGUGUCAUUUUGAGUAAAUCAAAUUCACCCUUGGUCGAAAAAAAUAGUGUCAUGUGACGGUGGUGAUGUGAUGACUCCCCCGUCCAUCAUCUCGUGUAUGUACUUUUGUUAUGGAAUUUUUUUGUAGCUGUUGUGAUGAGAGAUUGUAUAUUUUCUGGUUGUGUAGGGGGCGGAACGUGAUUGUUACGCUGUGGCCGGGGACUUUUGGGAGUUGGGACGGCGAGGCCGCCGAGGCAAGGAACCGAGGAGGAGAUAUGCGUUGACGUGUAAGCGACGUGACGGUGAUGUGGAGAUAAGGUUGGUUGCCCUCACGUGCAAGCAUCCUCGUGCUGGCGCAUUGCAACUGACAGGUGAGGUCGCCGAUACGGCCAUGAUUUGUUUUUUGUUAAGUGGAUACGGCCAAUGCGUUGUUUUUUGUUACGUGGAUACGGCCAUUGCUUCCAGAACCGACGUGUCAGCUAUACAGGCAGGUCGUGCGGUGGAUUCGUGCGUACCUCGUUAGAACGAUAGCUUUUACUCCUCAGUUCACAAAAAUACAAGGUAUUUCGAAUAAUUCAAUAUAGACUAUGCACGGAUUGAAAUAAGUGAAUAAUAAACACACUGAAACAUGUCUACAUACAUGUCACAUGUGAUUCAGAUGAAGCGAGUUAGUAUUAAAGGGCUCCGUCCAAGGCUUACACGUAGGUGAGAAUAUCACAUAAAAACCUAACACUCAAAGAAAACUUCAUGAAAUACAUGUUUGUAAGUUUUGAACAAAUCUAAAAAAGAAACACGGGACAUUAAAAAGGUGAUGUUUUAUUGCCAUGUGAAAUUUCAUGUUGAAACACAUUACGAAAUGCGAGCUACAGAAGAAACAAAUUCAAUAAUUCAAUGCUGAUUUUGUUUUUCUUUCAUAGCUGGCAUCAUGUAAUGAGUUUGAACUUCAUUUUUCACAUGGCAAUAAACAUCACCCUUUUAACAUCCAUUUUUUUUAUUUUUUUUAUAAUUCAAAUCAUUUCCGUCUGGUUUCCGCCAAAUGUUGGUUUUUAUGUGAUAUUCUCUCCUACAACAGAGCACCAAAAAAGGACUUCAACUUGGAUGGUGGCAAACUAGAGAGGUGUGUGAUGGAAAAAAAAAUCUUUAUACUUAUUUUUAGGGGUUCUGGGAAUAUAUAAGGCAGUGGAAGAAAGAGGUUGUGGAGUCCCACUGUGGGUCCCACGCGUGCCCUGGCCAUGUAGUGGGGCCGCAUGGUCCUCUACCGACUCAUGUGCCACCGGCUUCAUCUCGUCUAUAAAUUCCAAAAGUGAUUUUCUGUUUUUUUUUUAAAAAAUAUCAAAAAGAAAAAACAAACAACAAUUGAGCGCUGAAUUAAUAGAUUUAGGGCCUGUUCGGAAACACUCCGGCUCCCAACCCCGUGGAGCUGAAGUGGUGGAGCGGAGCGGCGCGCAGUUCAUCUUUGCGGAACAGCCAUUAUGUCGCUCCUCAUUUCCAGUGCUGAGCGGAUCGGAGUCGCGGGAGUGGUCCGUUGCCAAACAGACCCUUAAUAAAAUAAAAAUAAAAAUAAAAGUAGGUGCCAAACUUAUGCAAUAAUGAUAUAAUUUUAGAAUGAAAAGGCAAAAGUUAUAGAUACGUCUAUGAUGUGUCAACCAGCUCGCCGCCAGGGAUGCCAAGACUCCAUUUGCCUCGCAUCGCCUAGACAAAAAUCUGGACUGGAAUCGUCGGGUGGUCGCCAAACAUCCGACCAUUCCCUUCCUUCGUUGCAACCCGCGCGCAGAACCACCCCGCGUGCUGCCCACACUUAGAAACCGUGAGCAAAUCUCCUUUGUUUCCGCCAGGUUCACAUCAACGUCGGUGCACAACUCCCCUUCCAUCGCAGGCUUGCGUCCAUCGCCAUUCGCGAGCGGCAAAAACGAAGAGAGCCAGGAGAGUGGUGACUGCGAGUGGGCAGGGUGUGGCGAAUGCAAGUAGGUGCGUGAAUGCGAGUGGGUCAAAUACUGAAAUUGAAUCGUGCAAAGUGCGUCCAAACUGAAACUGAAACUGAAAUUAGCAUACUGAAACCGACACUUGCACACUGAAAACGCGCAAAAUGAAGUGAAAAUGAAAUAGUGACUGAAACUAGUUUUUUUUGGUAAGAAAUGAGGUGCAAAGCUUAUUUAGCAUAUAUCAAUUCGCAAAAAUUGCUCUGAUCUUAUUUAGCAUGCACUUGCAAAUGCUCCUAUUCUGGUUCUGGUUGGUCUCAUUUUGUACUAUACCCAACUGCAAACCAUUUCCAAGUGCGCAGUUUUGUGUUUUCAGUUGUUUGUCUGAGUCUACAUUUGAGCUGGGAAAUAUGGAAUCUUAGUAAUGCUAGUUUCCACAAAACUCAUGUGCAAGGUAGUAGUGGGUACAUUUUCGUUGAAGCAUUGUAGAAUCCGUACGCAUCUUUGCUGUCAAUGCGAAAUUUUAUGAAAUAUUUGAAAACCACUUUAUUUUCGGUUGGCAAUGAGGGGCAGACUAGUAUAUAAUAAUUUAAUUUGAUUUAACCUGAGAGACAACCGGUCCAGCACGUAGCUUCAAGCAAACGAAUUGUAAACGAGUACUUGUUUCUUUUUCUUCCGAUUUCCAUCUUCCCCAUGGUUGUUAGACUUCAUACACUCUUCAUACAUACAACUAUAAUACAAGUAACUAUUUCCCAGCUACACCAAAGCAAAACAAUCUUCACCGAGUUGGCAGAUGCCCACCCAUUGGUGAUCGGUAUGGUCUGAUCAUGUCAUUAAACGCCUAGGGAUGCCCACUAGCCAGCAAUGGUCUGGAUUGUGCCACCUCACUGAUCCGUGGCACCAUGGCAUCCUUGUUCUCUCCACCAUGCCUUCUUCCAAGACCAUACCAUCUCUAUAUAUACUAGAGGUGUUGGAAAUAUGCCCUAGAGGCAAUAAUAAAAUGGUUAUUAUUAUAUUUCUUUGUUCAUGAUAAUUGUUUGUUGUUCAUGCUAUAACUGUGUUAUCCGGAAAUCGUAAUACACGUGUGAAUACAUAGACCACAACAUGUCCCUAGUAAGCCUCUAGUUGACUAGCUCGUUGAUCAACAGAUAGUCAUGAUUUCCUGACUAUGGACAUUGGAUGUCGUUGAUAACGGGAUCACAUCAUUAGGAGAAUGAUGUGAUGGACAAGACCCAAUCCUAGGCAUAGCUCAAAGACCGUGUAGUUCGUUUAGCUAGAGCUUUUCCAAAUGUCAAGUAUCAUUUUCUUAGACCAUGAGGUUGUGCAACUCCCGGAUACCGUAGGAGUGCUUUGGGUGUGCCAAACGUCACAAAGUAACUGGAUGACUAUAAAGGUGCACUACGGGUAUCUCCGAAAGUGUCUGUUGGGUUGGCACGAAUCGAGAAUGGGAUUUGUCACUCCGUAUGACAGAGAGGUAUCUCUGGGCCCACUCGAUAAUGCAUCAUCAUAAUGAGCUCAAUGUGACCAAUUGUCUGGUCACAGGAUCAUGCAUUACGGUACGAGUAAAGUGACUUGCCGGUAACGAGAUUAAAUGAGGUAUUGGGAUACUGAUGAUCGAGUCUCGGGCAAGUAACGUACCGAUUGACAAAGGGAAUUGUAUACGGGGUUGAUUGAAUCCUCGACAUCGUGGUUCAUCCGAUGAGAUCAUCGAGGAGCAUGUGGGAGCCAACAUGGGUAUCCAGAUCCCGCUGUUGGUUAUUGACCGGAGAGGCGUCUCGGUCAUGUCUGCAUGUCUCCCGAACCCGUAGGGUCUACACACUUAAGGUUCGAUGACGCUAGGGUUGAAGAGAUAUUAGUAUGCAGUAACCCGAAAGUUGUUCGGAGUCCCGGAUGAGAUCCCGGACGUCACGAGGAGUUUCGGAAUGGUCCGAAGGUGAAGAAUUAUAUAUAGGAAGUCAGGUUUCGGUCAUCGGGAAAGUUUCGGGGGUCACCGGUAUUGUACCGGGACCAUCAGAAGGGUCCCGGGGGUCCACCAGGUGGGGCCACCUAUCUCGGAGGGCCCCAUGGGCUGAAGUGCGAGUUCUUGGGGGGCAAGUUUCCCCCCUUGGCCCUCCCGCGCCUAGGGUCGGAAACCCUAGGGGUGGGGGCGCCUCCACCUGGCUUGGGGGGCAAGUUUCCCCCCUGGCCGCCGCCCCCCCCUUGGAGAUCCCAUCUCCUAGGGCCGGCGCCCCCUAGGGGGCCUAUAUAAAGAGGGGGGAGGGAGGGCAGCCGCACCCAUGCUCUUGGCGCCUCCCUCUCCCAUUGCCACACCUCUCCCUCUCGCAGAAGCUCGGCGAAGCCCUGCCGAGAUCACUGCUGCAUCCACCACCACACCGUCGUGCUGAUGGAUCUCCGUCAACCUCUCCUCCCCCUUGCUGGAUCAAAAAGGAGGAGACGUCUUCCUCAACCGUACGUGUGUUGAACGCGGAGGUGUUGUCCGUUCGGCAAUAGGAUCAUUGGUGAUUUGGAUCACGACGAGUACGACUCACUCAACCCCAUUCUUUUGAACGCUUCCGCUCGCGAUCUACAAGGGUAUGUAGAUGCACUCCUUUCUCUCGUUGCUAGAUGAACUCAUAGAUUGAUCUUGGUGAAAGCGUAGAUUUUUUUUAUUUUCUGCAACGUUCCCCAAUAGUGGAAUCAUGAGCUAGGUCUAUGCGUAGUUCUCUUUGCACGAGUAGAACACAAUUUGUUGUGGGCGUAGAUGUUGUCAACUUUCUUGCCACUACUAGUCUUAUUUUGCUUUGGCGGCAUCAUGGGAUGAAGCGGCCCGGACCGACCUUACACGUACGCUUACGUGAAACAGGUUCCACCGAUUGACAUGCACUAGUUGCAUAAGGUGGCUAGUGGGUGUCUGUCUCUCCCACUUUAGUUGGAGCGGAUUCGACGAAAAGGGUCCUUAUGAAGGGUAAAUAGAAGUUGGCAUAUCACGUUGUGGCUUUCACGUAGGUAAGAAAAGUUCUUGCUAGAAUCCUAUAGCAGCCACAUAAAAACAUGCAACAACAAUUAGAGGACGUCUUACUUGUUUUAGCAGCAUGUGUUUUGUGAUGUGAUAUGGCCAAAAGUUGUGAUGAAUGAUAUAUAUGUGAUGUAUGAGAUCAUGUUCUUGUAAUAGGAAUCACGACUUGCAUGUCGAUGAGUAUGACAACCGGCAGGAGCCAUAGGAGUUGUCUUUAUUUUUUGUAUGACCUGCGUGUCAUUGAGAAACGCCAUGUAAAUUACUUUACUUUAUUGCUAAACGCGUUAGCCAUAGUAGUAGAAGUAAUAGUUGGCGAGCAACUUCAUGGAGACACGAUGAUGGAGAUCAUGGUGUCAUGCCGGUGACGAAGAUCAUCAUGGAGCCCCGAAGAUCGAGAUCAAAGGAGCUAUAUGAUAUUGGCCAUAUCAUGUCACUAUUUGAUUGCAUGUGAUGUUUAUCAUGUUUUUCAUCUUGUUUACUUAGAAUGACGGUAGUAAAUAAGACGAUCCCUCAUAAUAAUUUCAAGAAAGUGUUCCCCCUAACUGUGCACCGUUGCGAAGGUUCAUUGUUUCGAAGCACCACAUGAUGAUCGGGUGUGAUAGAUCCUAACGUUCGAAUACAACGGGUGUAAGCCAGAUUUACACACGCAAUACACUUAGGUUGACUUGACGAGCCUAGCAUGUACAGACAUGGCCUCGGAACACGGAGGACCGAAAGGUCGAGCAUGAGUCGUAUAGAAGAUACGAUCAAUAUGGAGAUGUUCACCGAUGUCGACUAGUCCGUCUCACGUGAUGAUCGGACACGGCCUAGUUGACUCGGAUCAUGUUUCACUUAGAUGACUAGAGGGAUGUCUAAUCUGAGUGGGAGUUCAUUGAAUAAUUUGAUUAGAUGAACUUAAUUAUCAUGAACUUAGUCUAAAAUCUUUACAAUAUGUCUUGUAGAUCAAAUGGCCCACGUUACCCUCAACUUCAACGCGUUCCUAGAGAAAACCAAGCUGAAAGAUGAUGGCAGCAACUAUACGGACUGGGUCCGGAACCUGAGGAUCAUCCUCAUAGCUACCAAGAAAGAUUAUGUCCUAGAAGCGCUGCUAGGUGAAGCACCAAUCCCAGAGAACCAAGACGUUAUGAAUGCUUGGCAGUCUCGUGCUGAUGAUUAUUCCCUCGUUCAGUGCGGCAUGCUUUAUAGCUUAGAACCAGGGCUCCAAAAGCGUUUUGAGCAACACGGAGUAUAUGAGAUGUUCGAGGAGCUGAAAAUGGUUUUCCAAGCUCAUGCCUAGGUCGAGAGAUAUGAAGUCUCCGACAAGUUCUUUAGCUGUAAGAUGGAGGAAAAUAGUUCUGUCAGUGAGCACAUACUCAAGAUGUAUGUGUUGCACAACCGCUUGACUCAGCUGGGAGUUAAUCUCUCGGAUGAUGCGAUCAUUGACAGAAUCCUUCAGUCGCUUCCACCGAGCUACAAGAGCUUUGUGAUGAACUUCAAUAUGUAGGGGAUGGAAAAGACCAUUCCUAAGGUAUAUUCAAUGCUGAAAUCGGCAGAGGUAGAGAUCAAAAAGGAACAUAAAAUGUUGAUGGUGAAUAAAACCACUAAGUUCAAGAAAGGCAAGGGUAAGAAGAACUUCAAGAAGGACGACAAGGGAGUUGCCGCGCCCGGUAAGCCAGUUGCCAAGAAAAAGUCAAACAAUGGACCCAAGCCUGAGACUGAGUGCUUUUAUUGCAACGGAAGUGGUCACUCGAAGCGGAACUGCCCCAAGUACUUAGCGGACAAGAAGGCCGGCAAAACCAAAGGUAUAUGUGAUACACAUGUUAUUGAUGUGUACCUUACCAGCACUUGUAGUAGCUCCUGGGUAUUUGAUACCGGUGCCGUUGCUCAUAUUUGUAACUCAAAGCAGGAGCUGUGGAAUAAGCGGAGACUGACGAAGGACGAGGUGAUGAUGCGCGUCGGGAAUGGUUCCAAGGUCGAUGUGAUCGCUGUCGGCACGCUACCUCUACAUUUACCUACGGGAUUAGUUUUAAACCUCAAUAAUUGUUAUUUAGUACCAGCUUUGAGCAUGAACAUUGUAUCAGGAUCUCGUUUAAUUCGAGAUGGCUACUCAUUUAAAUCCGAGAAUAAUAGUUGUUCUAUUUAUAUGAGAGAUAUGUUUUAUGGUGAUGCCCCGAUGGUCAAUGGUUUAUUCUUAAUGAAUCUCGAAUGUGAUGUUACACAUAUUUAUAGUGUGAAUAUCAAAAGAUGUAAAGUUGAUAACGAUAGUCCCACAUACUUGUGGCACUGCCGCCUUGGUCACAUUGGUGUCAAGCGCAUGAAGAAGCUCUAUACUGAUGAACUUUUAGAGUCUCUUGAUUAUGAAUCAUUUGACACAUGCGAACCAUGCCUCAUGGACAAAAUGACCAAGACUCCGUUCUCCGAAACAAUGAAGCGAGCAACCAACUUAUUAAAAAUCAUACAUGGAGAUAAGCUGAAGAAGCAGACACACAAUUUGGACGAGAAGGUGACGGUUAUCAAGUCCUUCCGAGUCUUCGAUGAUGUCCAGAGGGGAUGAUCAGAGCCUAUGACUCUGAGCUUUAAGUAAAACCGCUGCCACUGGACUACUACUACUGCCGCACUCGUAUUGUUCUGGCUGUGGCAUUGUAAAUACUCCCUCUGUCCGAGGAAAAUACAUGUAGGAAAAAAGAGUAAAUAUGGAUGUAUUUAGAAUUAAAAUACGUCUAAAUACAUCUAAUAUUUUUUUUGGACGGAGGGAGUAGAAACCUGAUGGAUGAUUGGUGGCUAUGACUUGCUAUGUAGGAGGGAAUGUUGGGUGAGUGUCAUGUGUAUUCGCACCAGCAUAUAUCAAUUCGCAAAAAUUGCUCUGAUCUUAUUUAGCAUGCACUUGCAAAUGCUCCUAUUCUGGUUCUGGUUGGUCUCAUUUUGUACUGUACCCAACUGAAAACCAUUUCCAAGUGCGCAGUUUUGUGUUUUCAGUUGUUCGUCUGAGUCUACAUUUGAGCUGGGAAAUAUGGUAUCUUAGUAAUGCUAGUUUCCACAAAACUCAUGUGCAAGGUAGUAGUGGGUACAUUUUCGUUGAAGCAUUGUAGAAUCCGUACGCAUCUUUGCUGUCAAUGCGAAAUUUUAUGAAAUAUUUGAAAACCACUUUAUUUUCUGUUGGCAAUGAGGGGCAGACUAGUAUAUAAUAAUUUAAUUUGAUUUAACCUGAGAGACAACCUGUCCAGCAAGUAGCUUCAAGCAAAUGAAUUGUAAACGAGUACUUGUUUCUUUUUCUUCCGAUUUCCAUCUUCCCCAUGGUUGUUAGACUUCAUACACUCUUCAUACAUACAACUAUAAUACAAGUAACCAUUUCUCCAGCUACACCAAAGCAAAACAAUCUUCACCGAGUUGGCAGAUGCCCACCCAUUGGUGAUCGGUAUGGUCUGAUCAUGUCAUUAAACGCCUAGGAAUGCCCACUAGCCAGCAAUGGUCUGGAUUGUACCACCUCACUGAUCCGUGGCACCAUGGCAUCCUUAUUCUCUCCACCAUGCCUUCUUCCAAGACCAUACCAUCUUUAUAUAUACUAGAGGUAGUGAUCCUUCCGCGUGCGGGGUGUGCGUGCGACUUAGGACUUUGGACGACGGCCGAGGGGGAGGUAGGAGUGUAUGCUGGGAUCUGCCGGUGCCAGUGCAAUCCAAUAGAGCGGAGGUGGACGAGUGGGGCAAUGGCGAAGUAGAAUGGUAGGUCUAUGUUGGUUGUCUCUAGAAGCCGUCACCCUGUGUAUACUGAGCAUAGGCCUCCGAUUGCAUGCCGAUUGGGGCGCGGAUGAUUUGAUCUGGGACGUCGAAGGCGUCGACGAGUUCUCGAGCCACAAGCCUCACCUGGUAACUGAGGUAGUCUACCAGUUUAUGGAUAGCCUGCAAGCAUACAGAGGAGCCAGGAGAGUGGUGACUGCGAGUGGGCAGGGCGUGGUGAAUGCAAGUAGGUGCGUGAAUGCGAGUGGGUCAAAUAGUACUGAAAUUGAAUCGUGCAAAGUGUGUCCAAACUGAAAUUGAAACUGAAACUGAAACUAGCAUACUGAAACCGACACUUGCACACUUGUUCGUUCUGAAUCUUGAGUUUCAGAACGUCGGCCUUCGGUUGACAUCAUCACGCAAAUCACCCGACAGUGGAAAAAAGGUACUAGAAGAGACAUUUUUGUGUUGAGACGGUGUAAAGUUCGAUCUAGAAGAAGUAUUUCCCUAUUCAUAUAUAUAUGACAGGUUCUGUUCGAUUAGUGCAAGUCACGCGAGGCUAUUUUUGGACAAAAAAUAUAUUCAUAUCUUUUCUCCUCGUUUAAGCAUGCAAUGCAAGCAGUGGAUUGGGUAGCAAAAAGAUGAUACAUGUAAAGGACUCAAACAAUAUUCAUAAACUUCCAACCACAGUUAUAUAGCCCCAAAACCAUUACGUAAUAAUGUUCGCAAAAAAACAUUACUUAACAAAAUAUUAAAACUAUGGCUAAACCCUAGCAAGAUAGUUCAAGCUCUCAGGCAUAUAUCUAGUAGCAGGCACCGCCCCUGAGGGCGAGGACGAGGUGGAGCACGUCGCCGGCCUUGAUAUUGUAGUCCUUUGCUGCCUUGUCGUCGGCGAGCUGCUUGCCUGCGAAGAUGAGCCUCUGCUGGAUGGGCGGGAUGCCCUCCUUCUCCUUGACGCGUUCCUUGAUGCGGUCGACCGUGUCGGUGUGCUCGAUGUCGAUGUCGAUCUCCUUGCCGGUGAGCGUCUUGACAUUGAUGGAGAGGCCGCCGCGGAGGCGGAGCACGAGGUGCAGCGUCGACUCCUUCUGCAUGUUGUAGUCGGCGGGCGUGCGGCCGUCCUCGAGCUGCUUCCCGGCGAAGAUGAGCCGCUGCUGGUCCGGCGGGAUCCCCUCCUUGUCCUGGAUCUUGGCCUUACGUUGUCGAUGGUGUCGCUGCUCUCCACCUCCAGCGUGAUCGUCUUUGCUGAACUAGUGUCUGAGCUGGUGUGUUACUCUCAAGUGUAAAAAAUGUCCAGUUUGCUCUCUUUAUUUGAAUUUUCAGUUCACUUCAAAGGAUCACUAUUACGAGCCAGGUUCUUUAAUGUUUUGUUCACCUCAGCGUAUGAACAUUGCUCUGCAAACUGAAUAAUAAAUCAGCCUAUGAGCAUGCAUAGCUCUGCAAACUGAAACAUAGAACUUGAGCAGGUAACAAAUUCAGCGCGUCAUUUGAGAGCAAAGUUCAGACUUUGCAUUCAUUUUAGAGCAUUCAAUACAACAAUUUUUGUCUCGCCAUAUAAAUCACACUCACGAUGCAAUAGGAACUUGAAUUUCAUUCUCUGCAAAUCAAGGGCACAAACAUCAACAUCAACAUCAACAAUGCUUGACUUGGCCUCCAUUACUGAAUGCUCGAGUUGUUCGUUCUGAAUCUUCAGUUUCAGAACGUCGGCCCCAUAUGCAUCAAUUUUGAAGGAGACUUGGACCGUAUGCUCAACUCGUAUAGUGUUGGAAAUAUGCCCUAGAGGCAAUAAUAAAAGCAUUAUUAUUAUAUUUCCUCGUUCAUGAUAAUUGUCUUUUAUUCAUGCUAUAACUGUAUUGUCCGGAAAUCGUAAUACACGUGUGAAUACAUAGACCAUAACAUGUCCCUAGUGAGCCUCUAGUUGACUAGCUCGUUGGUCAACAGAUAGUCAUGGUUUCCUGACUAUGGACAUUAGAUGUCAUUGACAACGGGAUCACAUCAUUAGGAGAAUGAUGUGAUGGACAAGACCCAAUCCUAAGCAUAGCACAAGAUCGUGUAGUUCGUUUUGCUAGAGCUUUUUCAAUGUCAAGUAUCUCUUCCUUAGACCAUGAGAUCGUGUAACUCCCGGAUACCGUAAGAGUGCUUUGGGUGUACCAAACGUAACAACGUAACUGGGUGACAAUAAAGGUGCACUACAGGUAUCUCCGAAAGUGUCUGUUGGGUUGACACGGAUCGAGACUGGGAUUUGUCACUCCGUAUGACGGAGAGGUAUCACUGGGCCCACUCGGUAGUGCAUCAUCAUAAUGAGCUCAAAGUGACCAAGUGUUUGGUCACGGGAUCAUGCAUUACGGUACGAGUAAAGUGACUUGCCGGUAACGAGACUAACGAGGUAUUGGGAUACCGACGAUCGAGUCUCGGGCAAGUAACAUACCGUUUGACAAAGGGAAUUGCAUACGGGGUUGAUUGAAUCCUUGACAUCGUGGUUCAUCCGAUGAAAUCAUCGAGGAGCAUGUGGGAGCCAAUAUAGGUAUCCAGAUCCCGCUGUUGGUUAUUGACCGGAGAGCCGUCUCAGUCAUGUCUGCAUGUCUCCCGAACCCGUAGGGUCUACACACUUAAGGUUCGGCGACGCUAGGGUUAUUAGGAAGACUUGUAUGUGAUUGCCGAAAGUUGUUCGGAGUCCCGGAUGGGAUCCUGGACAUCACGAGGAGUUCCGGAAUGGUCUGGAGAUAAAGAUUUAUAUAUGGGAAGUUGUCAUACGGACACCGGAAGGUUUCGGGGGCAUAUCGGUAUUGUACCGGGGCCACCGGAAGGGUUCCGGGGGUCCACCGGGAGGGGCCACCCCUCCCGGGGGGCCACAUGGGCCGCGUGGGGCAGGAGCCAGCCCCUGGAGGGCUGGGCACGCCCCCCUUGGGCCCAUGCGCCUAGGGUUGGGGGGGGGGGGGAACCCUAGAGGGGGCGCCCCCCUUGCUUGGGGGGCAAGUCCCCCCUCCCUGGCCGCCCCCCCUCUAGAUCCCAUCUAGAGGGGCCGUCCCCCUUUCCCCUUCCCCUAUAAAUAGAGGGGUGAGGGGAGGGCUGAUUACCCAAGCCAAGGUGCAGCCCCUCCCCUCCCCAACACCUCUCCUCCUUCGUUGUGUGCUUGGCGAAGCCCUGUCGGAGUACUGCCUCUUCACCAUCAUCACGUCGUCGUGCUGCUGCUGGAGCCUUCUUCCUCAACCUCUCCUUCCCCCUUGCUAGAUCAAGAAGGAGGAGACAUCGCCCGUACCGUACGUGUGUUGAACGCGGAGGUGCUGUCCGUUCAGCACUUGGUCAUCGGUGAUCUGAAUCACGCCGAGUACGACUCCAUCAUCACCGUUCCCUCGAACGCUUCCGUACGCGAUCUACAAGUGGUAUGUAGAUGCAAACUCACUCCCUUGACUCGUUGCUUAGAUGAACUCAUAGAUGGAUCUUGGUGAAACAGUAGGAAAAAAUUUAAUUUUCUGCAACGUUCCCCAACAGUGGUAUCAGAGCUAGUUCUAUGCGUAGUUCUCUAUUGCACGAGUAGAACACAAUUUUAUUGUGGGCGUAGAUCUUAUCAACUUGCUUGCCGCUACUAGUCUUAUCUUGCUUCAGCGGUAUUGUGGGAUGAAGCGGCCCGGACCAACCUUACACGUACGCUUACGUGAGACCGGUUCCACCGACUGACAUGCACUAGUUGCAUAAGGUGGCUGGCGGGUGUCUGUCUCUCCCACUUUAGUUGGAGCGGAUUCGAUGAAAAGGGUCCUUAUGAAGGGUAAAUAGAAGUUGACAAGAUCAUGUUGUGGUUAUUCGUAGGUAAGAAAACGUUCUUACUAGAACCCAAUUGCAGCCACGUAAAAGAUGCAACAACAAUUAGAGGACGUCUAACUUGUUUUUGCAGCAAUUGUCAUGUGAUGUGAUAUGGCCAGAAGUUGUGAUGAAUGAUGAAUGAUAUAUUGUGAUGUAUGAGAUCAUGUUCUUGUAAUAGGAAUCACGACUUGCAUGUCGAUGAGUAUGACAACCGGCAGGAGCCAUAGGAGUUGUCUUUAUUUUUUGUAUGACCUGCGUGUCAUUGAAGAACGCCAUGUAAAUUACUUUACUUUAUUGCUAAACGCGUUAGCCAUAGAAGUAGAAGUAGUCGUUGGCGUGACAACUUCAUGAAGACACAAUGAUGGAGAUCAUGAUGAUGGAGAUCAUGGUGUCAUGCCGGUGACGAAGAUGAUCAUGGAGCCCCGAAGAUGGAGAUCGAAGGAGUUGUAUGAUAUUGGCCAUAUCAUGUCACUACUAUAUAAUUGCAUGUGAUGUUUAUUAUGUUUUAUGCAUCUUGUUUACUUAGAACGACGGUAGUAAAUAAGAUGAUCCCUUAUAAUAAUUUCAAGAAAGUGUUCCCCCUAACUGUGCACCGUUGCUAAAGAUCGUUGUUUCGAAGCACCACGUGAUGAUCGGGUGUGAUAGAUCCUUACGUUCACAUACAACGGGUGUAAGAAAGAUUUACACAUGCAGAACACUUAGGGUUAACUUGACGAGCCUAGCAUGUACAGACAUGGCCUCGGAACACAAGAGACCGAAAGGUCGAACAUGAAUCGUAUAGAAGAUACGAUCAACAUGGAGAUGUUCACCGAUGAUGACUAGUCCGUCUCACGUGAUGAUCGGACACGGCCUAGUCGACUCGGAUCAUGUAACACUUAGAUGACUAGAGGGAUGUCUAAUCUGAGUGGGAGUUCAUUAAAUAAUUUGAUUAGAUGAACUUAAUUAUCGUGAACUUAGUCUAAAACUUUUGCAAAAUAUGUCUUGUAGAUCAAAUGGCCAACCCUCAUGUCAACAUGAACUUCAACGCGUUCCUAGAGAAAACCAAGCUGAAAGAUGAUGGCAGCAACUAUACGGACUGGGUCCGGAACCUGAGGAUCAUCCUCAUAGCUGCCAGGAAACAAUAUGUCCUAGAAGGACCGCUAGGUGAUGCACCUGUCCCAGAGAACCAAGACAUUAUGAAUGCUUGGCAGACUCGCGCUGAUGAUUACUCCCUCGUUCAGUGCGGCAUGCUUUACAGCUUAGAACCGGGGCUCCAAAAGCAUUUUGAGCAACACGGAGCAUAUGAGAUGUUCGAGGAGCUGAAACUAGUUUUCCAAGCUCAUGCCCGGGUCGAGAGAUAUGAAGUCUCCGACAAGUUCUAUAGUUGUAAGAUGGAGGAAAAUAGUUCUGUCAGUGAACAUAUACUCAAAAUGUCUGGGUUGCACAACUGCCUGUCCCAGCUGGACAUUAACCUCCCAGAUGAGGCGGUCAUUGACAGAAUCCUUCAGUCGCUCCCACCAAGCUACAAGAGCUUUGUGAUGAACUACAAUAUGCAGGGGAUGGUAAAGACCAUUCCUGGAGUAUUUUCAAUAUUGAAGUCAGCAGAGGUUGAAAUCAUGAAAGAACAUCAAGUGUUGAUGGUCAAUAAGACCACUAAGUUCAAGAAGGGUAAGGGUAAGAAGAACUUCAAGAAGGACGGCAAAGAUGUUGCCGCGCCCGGUAAGCCAGUUACCGGGAAGAAGUCAAAGAAUGGACCCAAGCCUGAAACUAAGUGCUUUUAUUGCAAGGGGAAGGGUCACUGGAAGCGGAAUUGCCCCAAAUACUUAGCGGAUAAUAAGGCCGGCAACACUAAAGGUAUAUUUGAUAUACAUGUAAUUGAUGUGUACCUUACCAGUACUCGUAAUAACUCCUGGGUAUUUGAUACCGGUGCUGUUGCUCACAUUUGUAACUCACAGCAGGAGCUGCGGAAUAAGCGGAGACUGGCGAAGGACGAGGUGACGAUGCGCGUCAGGAAUGGUUCCAAGGUCGAUGUGAUCGCCGUCGGCACGCUACCUCUACAUUUACCUACGGGAUUAGUUUUAAACCUCAAUAAUUGUUAUUUAGUGCCAAGUUUGAGCAUGAACAUUGUAUCAGGAUCUCGUUUAAUACGAGAUGGCUACUCAUUUAAAUCCGAGAAUAAUGGUUGUUCUAUUUAUAUGAGAGAUAUGUUUUAUGGUCAUGCCCCUAUGGUCAAUGGUUUAUUCUUAAUGAAUCUCGAACGUAAUAUUACACAUAUUCAUAGCGUGAAUACCAAAAGAUGUAAAGUUGAUAACGAUAGUCCCACAUACUUGUGGCACUGCCGCCUUGGUCACAUUGGUGUCAAGCGCAUGAAGAAGCUCCAUGCUGAUGGACUUUUAGAGUCUCUCGAUUAUGAAUCAUUUGACACAUGCGAACCAUGCCUCAUGGGAAAAAUGACCAAGACCCCGUUCUCCGGAACAAUGGAGCGAGCAACCAACUUGUUGGAAAUCAUACAUACCGAUGUGUGCGGUCGAAUGAGCGUUGAGGCUCGCGGAGGAUAUCGUUAUGUUCUCACUCUCACUGAUGACUUGAGUAGAUAUGGGUAUGUCUACUUGAUGAAACACAAGUCUGAGACCUUUGAAAAGUUCAAGGAAUUUUAGAAUGAAGUAGAGAAUCAACGUGACCGAAAGAUAAAGUUCUUAUGAUCGGAUCAUGGAGGAGAAUAUUUAAGUCACGAAUUUGGUACACACUUAAGAAAAUGUGGAAUCGUUUCACAACUCACGCCGCCUGGAACACCUCAGCGUAAUGGUGUGUCCGAACGUCGUAAUCGCACUCUAUUGGAUAUGGUGCGAUCUAUGAUGUCUCUUACCGAUUUACGCUAUCAUUUUGGGGAUACGCUCUAGAGACAGCUACAUUCACUUUAAAUAGGGCACCGUCUAAAUCCGUUGAGACGACACCGUAUGAAUUAUGGUUUGGGAAGAAACCUAAGCUGUCGUUUCUAAAAGUUUGGGGAUGCGAUGCUUAUGUCAAGAAACUUCAACCUGAAAAGCUCGAACCCAAGUCGGAAAAAUGCGUCUUCAUAGGAUACCCUAAAGAAACCAUUGGGUAUACCUUCUACUUAAGAUCCGAAGGCAAGAUCUUUGUUGCCAAGAACGGAUCCUUUCUGGAAAAAGAGUUUCUCUCGAAAGAAGUAAGUGGGAGGAAAGUAGAACUCGAUGAAGUACUACCUCUUGAACAGGAUAGUAGUGCAGCUCAGGAAAAUGUUCCUGUGAUGCCUACACCAACUGAAGAGGAAAACAAUGAUGAUGAUCAAGGUAUUUCGGAUCAAGUUGCUACUGAACUUCGUAGGUCCACAAGGACACGUUCCGCACCAGAGUGGUAUGGCAACCCUGUCCUGGAAAUCAUGUUGUUGGACAACGGUGAACCUUCAAACUAUGAAGAAGCAAUGGCGGGCCCAGAUUCCAACAAAUGGCUAGAAGCCAUGAAAUCCGAGAUAGAAUCCAUGAAUGAAAACAAAGUAUGGACUUUGACUGACUUGCCCGAUGAUCGGCGAGCGAUAGAAAACAAAUGGAUCUUUAAGAAGAAGACGGACGCGGAUGGAAAUGUCACCAUCUAUAAAGCUCGACUUGUCGCUAAGGGUUAUCGGCAAGUUCAAGGGAUUGACUACGAUGAGACUUUCUCUCCCGUAGCGAAGCUUAAGUCCGUCAGAAUCAUGUUAGCAAUUGCCGCAUACUAUGAUUAUGAGAUAUGGAAGAUGGACGUCAAAACGGCAUUCCUUAACGGGCAUCUUAAGGAAGAACUGUAUAUGAUGCAGCCGGAGGGUUUUGUCGAUCCUAGGAAUGCUAACAAAGUAUGCAAGCUCCAGCGAUCCAUUUAUGGGCUGGUGCAAGCAUCUCGGAGUUGGAACAUUCGCUUUGAUGAGAUGAUCAAAGCGUUUGGGUUUACGCAGACUUAUGGAGAAGCCUGCGUUUACAAGAAAGUGAGUGGGAGCUCUGUAGCAUUUCUCAUAUUAUAUGUUGAUGACAUACUUUUGAUGGGAAAUGAUAUAGAAUUCUUGGACAGCAUUAAGGCCUACUUGAAUAAGUGUUUUUCAAUGAAGGACCUUGGAGAAGCUGCUUAUAUAUUAGGCAUCAAGAUCUAUAGGGAUAGAUCGAGACGCCUCAUAGGUCUUUCACAAAGCACAUACCUUGAUAAGAUUUUGAAGAAGUUCAAAAUGGAUCAGUCCAAGAAAGGGUUCUUGCCUGUACUGCAAGGUGUGAGAUUGAGCUCGGCUCAAUGCCCGACCACGUCAAAAGAUAAAGAAGAGAUGAGCGUCAUCCCCUAUGCCUCAGCCAUAGGAUCUAUUAUGUAUGACAUGCUGUGUACCAGACCUGAUGUAAACCUUGCCGUAAGUUUGGUAGGAAGGUACCAAAGUAAUCCCGGCAAGGAACACUAGACAACGGUCAAGAAUAUACUGAAGUACCUGAAAAGGACAAAGGACAUGUUUCUCCUUUAUGGAGGUGACGAAGAGCUUGUCGUAAAGGGUUACGUCGACGCUAGCUUUGACACAGAUCUGGAUGACUCUAAGUCACAAACCGGAUAUGUGUAUAUGUUGAAUGGUGGAGCAGUAAGCUGGUGCAGCUGCAAGCAGAGCAUCGUGGCGGGAUCUACAUGUGAAGCGGAGUACAUGGCAGCCUCGGAGGCGGCGCAUGAAGCAAUAUGGGUGAAGGAGUUCAUCACCGACCUAGGAGUCAUACCCAAUGCGUCGGGGCCCAUCAAACUCUUCUGUGACAACACUGGAGCUAUUGCCCUUGCCAAGGAGCCCAGGUUUCACAAGAAGACCAGGCACAUCAAGCGUCGCUUCAACUCCAUCCGUGAAAAUGUUCAAGAUGGAGACAUAGAUAUUUGCAAAGUACAUACGAAUCUGAAUGUCGCAGAUCCGUUGACUAAACCUCUCUCGCGAGCAAAACAUGAUCAACACCAGAACUCUAUGGGUGUUCGAUUCAUCACAAUGUAACUAGAUUAUUGACUCUAGUGCAAGUGGGAGACUGUUGGAAAUAUGCCCUAGAGGCAAUAAUAAAAGCAUUAUUAUUAUAUUUCCUUGUUCAUGAUAAUUGUCUUUUAUUCAUGCUAUAACUGUAUUGUCCGGAAAUCGUAAUACACGUGUGAAUACAUAGACCAUAACAUGUCCCUAGUGAGCCUCUAGUUGACUAGCUCGUUGGUCAACAGAUAGUCAUGGUUUCCUGACUAUGGACAUUAGAUGUCAUUGACAACGGGAUCACAUCAUUAGGAGAAUGAUGUGAUGGACAAGACCCAAUCCUAAGCAUAGCACAAGAUCGUGUAGUUCGUUUUGCUAGAGCUUUUUCAAUGUCAAGUAUCUCUUCCUUAGACCAUGAGAUCGUGUAACUCCCGGAUACCGUAAGAGUGCUUUGGGUGUACCAAACAUCACAACGUAACUGGGUGACAAUAAAGGUGCACUACAGGUAUCUCCGAAAGUGUCUGUUGGGUUGACACGGAUCGAGACUGAGAUUUGUCACUCCGUAUGACGGAGAGGUAUCACUGGGCCCACUCGGUAGUGCAUCAUCAUAAUGAGCUCAAAGUGACCAAGUGUUUGGUCACGGGAUCAUGCAUUACGGUACGAGUAAAGUGACUUGCCGGUAACGAGACUAACGAGGUAUUGGGAUACCGACGAUCGAGUCUCGGGCAAGUAACAUACCGUUUGACAAAGGGAAUUGCAUACGGGGUUGAUUGAAUCCUCGACAUCGUGGUUCAUCUGAUGAAAUCAUCGAGGAGCAUGUGGGAGCCAACAUGGGUAUCCAGAUCCCGCUGUUGGUUAUUGACCGGAGAGCCGUCUCGGUCAUGUCUGCAUGUCUCCCGAACCCGUAGGGUCUACACACUUAAGGUUCGGCGACGCUAGGGUUAUUAGGAAGACUUGUAUGUGAUUACCAAAAGUUGUUCGGAGUCCCGGAUGGGAUCCCGGACGUCACGAGGAGUUCCGGAAUGGUCCGGAGGUAAAGAUUUAUAUAUGGGAAGUUGUCAUACGGACACUAGAAGGUUUCGGGGGCAUAUCGGUAUUGUACCGGGGCCACCGGAAGGGUUCCGAGGGUCCACCGGGAGGGGCCACCCCUCCUGGGGGGCCACAUGGGCCACGUGGGGCAGGAGCCAGCCCCUGGAGGGCUAGGCGCCCCCCCCUUGGGCCCAUGCGCCUAGGGUUGGGGGGGGACCCUAGAGGGGGCGCCCCCCUUGCUUGGGGGGCAAGUCCCCCCUCCCUGGCCGCCGCCCCCCCUCUAGAUCCCAUCUAGAGGGGCCGGCCCCCCUUUCCCCUUCCCCUAUAAAUAGAGGGGUGAGGGGAGGGCUGAUUACCCAAGCCAAGGCGCAGCCCCUCCCCUCCCCAACACCUCUCCUCCUUCGUUGUGUGCUUGGCGAAGCCCUGUCGGAGUACUGCCUCUCCACCAUCAUCACGCCGUCGUGCUGCUGCUGGAGCCUUCUUCCUCAACCUCUCCUUCCCCCUUGCUGGAUCAAGAAGGAGGAGACGUCGCCCGUACCGUACGUGUGUUGAACGCGGAGGUGUUGUCCGUUCAGCACUUGGUCAUCGGUGAUCUGAAUCACGCCGAGUACGACUCCAUCAUCACCGUUCCCUCGAACGCUUCCGUACGCGAUCUACAAGUGGUAUGUAGAUGCAAACUCACUCCCUUGACUCGUUGCUUAGAUGAACUCAUAGAUGGAUCUUGGUGAAACAGUAGGAAAUUUUUUAAUUUUCUGCAACGUUCCCCAACAUAUAGUGCCGGAGUCACUGAGCCAUUGAACCUUGUAGGGGUGCGGAUGCUUCAUCUUGACCAAUUGAAGCUUGGAGCAUAGUUCUUCACUUGCCAAGUUGUGGCAACUACCUCCAUCGAUGAUGACUUGACGGACCUUCCAUUGAUGCCGGAUUUUGUGUGUAAGAUGUGGCAUCGUUGGUCUUCUUCUUGUUGAUGUUGAAGAGUCAAGACCUUGGGGACAACGAGAGCGGGGCUCGAAUCCUCAUCACAAAAGACUUGAUCAUCUUCAUCCUCAUUCACGCGCCGGUGCAUGGCCACUUGCUCAAGAGCUUCCAUCUCCUCAUCACUCAUGGAGUCAUAGGUGCCAUCAUCAUUGAGGAUCAUGGUGCGCUUGUUUGUGCAUUCGUAGGACUUGUGGCCUCUGUUGGGGAACGUAGCAGAAAUUCAAAAUUUUCCUACGUGUCACCAAGAUCUAUCUAUGGAGAAACCAGCAACGAGGGGAAGGAGAGUGCAUCUACAUACCCUUGUAGAUCGCUAAGCGAAAGCGUUCAAGAGAACGGGGUUGAAGGAGUCGUACUCGUCGUGAUCCAAAUCACCGGAGAUCCUAGUGCCGAACGGACGGCACCUUCGCGUUCAACACACGUACAGCCCGGUGACGUCUCCCAUGCCUUGAUCCAGCAAGAGAGAGGGAGAGGUUGGGGAAGACUCCAUCCAGCAGCAGCACGACGGCGUGGUGGUGGUGGAGGAGCGUGGCAAUCCUGCAGGGCUUCGCCAAGCACCGCGGGAGAGGAGGAGUAAGAGAGGUAGGGCUGCGCCAAGAGGGAGAGGAACUCAUGUGUUGGGCAGCCCCUAGACCUCAACUAUAUAUAGGGGGAGGGGAGGGGGCUGCGCCCCCUCUAGGGUUCCCUCCCCAGGGGUGGCGGCAGCCCCCAGAUGCCAUCUGGGUGGCGGCCAGAAGGGGGAAGAGGGGAGGCGCACCUGGGGUGGGCCUUAGGGCCCAUCUGCCCUAGGGUUUGCCCCCCUCCCNNNNNNNNNNNNNNNNNNNNNNNNNNNNNNNNNNNNNNNNNNNNNNNNNNNNNNNNNNNNNNNNNNNNNNNNNNNNNNNNNNNNNNNNNNNNNNNNNNNNNNNNNNNNNNNNNNNNNNNNNNNNNNNNNNNNNNNNNNNNNNNNNNNNNNNNNNNNNNNNNNNNNNNNNNNNNNNNNNNNNNNNNNNNNNNNNNNNNNNNNNNNNNNNNNNNNNNNNNNNNNNNNNNNNNNNNNNNNNNNNNNNNNNNNNNNNNNNNNNNNNNNNNNNNNNNNNNNNNNNNNNNNNNNNNNNNNNNNNNNNNNNNNNNNNNNNNNNNNNNNNNNNNNNNNNNNNNNNNNNNNNNNNNNNUGGUGGACCCCCGGGACCCUCCCGGUGGUCCCGGUACGUUACCGAUAAAACCCGAAACUUUUCCGGUGACCAAAAUAGGACUUCCCAUAUAUAAAUCUUUACCUCUGAACCAUUCCGGAACUCCUCGUGACGUCCGGGAUCUCAUCCGGGACUCCGAAAAACAUUCAGUAACCACAUAGAAACUUCCUUUAUAACCCUAGCGUCAUCGAACCUUAAGUGUGUAGACCCUACGGGUUUGGGAACCAUGCAGACAUGACCGAGACGUUCUCCGGUCAAUAACCAACAGCGGGAUCUGGAUACCCAUGUUGGCUCCCACAUGUUCCACGAUGAUCUCAUUGGAUGAACCACGAUGUCAAGGACUCAAUCGAUCCCGUAUACAAUUCCCUUUGUCUAGCGGUAUUGUACUUGCCCGAGAUUCGAUCGUCGGUAUACCGAUACCUUGUUCAAUCUCGUUACCGGCAAGUCUCUUUACUCGUUCCAUGACACAUCAUCCCGCGAUCAACUCUUUGAUCACAUUGUGCACAUUAUGAUGAUGUCCUACUGAGUGGGCCCAGAGAUACCUCUCCGUUUACAUGGAGUGACAAAUCCCAGUCUCGAUUCGUGCCAACCCAACAGACACUUUCGGAGAUACCUGUAGUGCACCUUUAUAGCCACCCAGUUACGUUGUGACAUUUGGUACACCCAAAGCAUUCCUAUGGUAUCCGGGAGUUGCACAAUCUCAUGGUCUAAGGAAAUGAUACUUGACAUUAGAAAAGCUUUAGCAUACGAACUAUGAUCUUUGUGCUAGGCUUAGGAUUGGGUCUUGUCCAUCACAUCAUUCUGCUAAUGAUGUGAUCCCGUUAUCAACGGUAUCCAAUGUCCAUGGUCAGGAAACCGUAACCAUCUAUUGAUCAACGAGCUAGUCAACUAGAGGCUUACUAGGGACAUGGUGUUGUCUAUGUACCCACACAUGUAUAUGAGUUUCCUAUCAAUACAAUUAUAGCAUGGAUAAUAAACGAUUAUCAUGAACAAGAAAAUAUAAUAAUAACUAAUUUAUUAUUGCCUCUAGGGCAUAUUUCCAACAGUCUCCCACUUGCACUAGAGUCAAUAAUCUAGUUCACAUCGCCAUGUGAUUAACACUCACAGGUCACAUCAUCAUGUGACCAACAUCCAAAGAGUUUACUAGUGUCACUAAACUAGUUCACAUCAUCAUGUGAUUAAGACUCAAUGAGUUCUGGGGUUUGAUCAUGUUUUGCUUGUGAGAGAGGUUUUUAGUCAACGGGUCUGCAACAUUCAGAUCCGUAUGUACUUCGCAAAUCUCUAGGUCAUAUUGUAAAUGCUGCUUCCACGCUCCACUUGGAGCUAUUCCAAAUGGUUGCUCCACUAUAUGUAUCCGGUUUGCUACUCAGAGUCAUUCGGAUAGGUGUUAAAGCUUGCAUCUUCGUAACCCUUUACGCCGAACUCUUUAUCACCUCCAUAAUCAAGAAACAUGUCCUUAUUACUCCAAGGACAAUUUUUGACCGCUGUCUGGUGAUCCACUCCUUGAUCACCUUUGUACCUUCUUGCCAGACAUGUGUCAAGGCACACAUCAGGUGCGGUACUUAGCAUAGCAUACUGUAGAGCCUACGUCUAAAGCAUAGGGGACGACCUUCGUCCUUUCUCUCUAUUCUGCCGUGGUUGAGCUUUAAGUCUUAACUUCGUACCUUACAACUCAGGCAAGAACUCCUUCUUUGACUGGUCCAUCUUGAACACCUUCAAGAUCAUGUCAAGGUAUGUGCUCAUUUGAAAGUACCAUUAAGCAUUUUGAUCUUUCCUUAUAGAUCUUGAUGCUCAAUGUUCAAGCAGCUUAAUCUAGGUUUUCUAUUGAAAAACACUUUUCAAAUAACCCUAUAUGCUUUCCAGAAAUUCUACAUCAUUUUUGAUCAACAAUAUGUCAACAACAUAUACUCAUCAGAAAUUCUAUAGUGCUCCCACUCACUUCUUUGGAAAUACAAGUUUCCCAUGAACUUUGUAUAAACCCAAAAUUUUUGAUCAUCUCAUCAAAGCGCACAUUCCAACUCCGAGAUGCUUACUCCAGUCCUUAGAAGGAUCGCUGGAGCCAACAUACCUUUUAGCAUCCUUAGGAUCGACAAAAACUUUUUGAUUGUAUCACAUACAACCUUUCCAUACAAAGAUUGGUAAGGAAACUCGUUUUGACAUCCAUCUGCUAGAUUUCAUAAAUGCAGCUAAUGCUAACAUGAUUCCGACGGACUUAAGCAUCGCUGCGGAGGAGAAAAUCUCAUCAUAGUCAACUCCUUGAACUUGUGAAAAACUCUUCGCCACAAGUCGAGCUUAUAGACGGUGACAUUACCGUCCACGUCCGUCUUCUUCUUAAAGAUCCAUUUAUCUCAAUGGCUUGCCGAUCAUUGGGCAAGUCCACCAAAGUCCAUGCUUUGUUCUGAUACAUGGAUCCUAUCUCGGAUUUCAUGGCUUCUAACCAUUUGUUGGAAUAUGGGCCCACCAUUGCUUCUUCAUAGCUCGUAGGUUCAUUGUUGUCUAGCAACAUGACUUUCAAGACAGGAUUACUGUACCACUCUGAAGUAGUACGCAUCCUUGUCACCCUACGAGGUACGGUAGUGACUUGAUCCGAAACUUCAUGAUCACUAUCAUAAGCUUCUACUUCAAUUGGUGUAGGCGCCACAGGAACAACUUCCUGUGCCCUGCUACAAUCUUGUUGAAGUGGCGGUUCAAUAACCUCAUCAAGUCUCCACCAUCCUCCCACUCAAUUCUCGAGACAAACCUUUCCUUGAGAAAGGACCCAAUUCAAGAAACAAUCCUUAUUGCUUCCGGAUCUGAAUUAGGAGGUAUACCCAACUGUUUUGGGUGUCCUAUGAAGAUGCAUUUUAUCCACUUUGGGUUCGAGCUUAUCAACCUGAAACUUUUCACAUAAGCGUCGCAGCCCCAAACCUUUAAGAAAUGACAGCUUAGGUUUCUCUAAACCAUAGUUCAUACGUUGUCAUCUCAACGGAAUUACGUGGUGCCCUAUAUAAAGUGAAUGUGGUUGUCUCUAAUGCCUAACCCAUAAACGAUAGUGGUAAUUCGAUAAGAGACAUCAUGGUAUGCACCAUAUCCAAUAGGGUGCAACUAUGAUGUUCGGACACACCAUCACACUAUGGUGUUCCAGGCGGUAUCAAUUGUGAAACAAUUUCCACAAUAUCUUAAUUGCGUGCCAAAGCUCGUAACUCAGAUACUCAUCUCUAUGAUCAUAUCAUAGACAUUUUAUCCUCUUGUCACGAUGAUCUUCAACUUCACUCUGAAAUUACUUGAACCAUUCAAUAAUUCAGACUUGUGUUUCAUCAACUAAAUAUACUCAACAUCUACUCGAAUCACCCGUGAAGUAAGAACAUAACGAUAUCCACUGCGUGCCUGGGCACUCAUUGGACUGCACACAUCAAAAUGUAUUACUUCCAACAAGUUGCUUUCUCGUUCUAUUUUACUGAAAAUGAGGCUUUCAGUCAUCUUGCCCAUGUGGUAUGAUUUUCAUGUCUCAAGUGAUUCAGAAUCAAGAGAGUCCAAACGAUCCAUCUGCAUGGAGUUUCUUCAUGCGUAUACACCAAUAGACAUGGUUCGCAUGUCUCAAACUUUUCAAAAACGAGUGAGUCCAAAGAUCCAUCAACAUGGAGCUUCUUCAUGCGUUUUAUACCAAUAUGACCUAUAUGGCAGUGCCACAAGUAAGUGGUACUAUCAUUACUAUCUUAUACCUUUUGGCAUGAAAAUGUGUAUCACUACGAUCGAGAUUCAAUAAACCAUCCCUUUAGGUGCAAGACCAUUGAAGGUAUUAUUCAAAUAAAUAGAGUAACCAUUAUUCUCCUUAAAUGAAUAACCGUAUUGCGAUAGACGUAAUCCAAUCAUGUCUAUGCUCAACGCAAACACCAAAUGACAAUUAUUCAGGUUUAAUACUAAUCUUGAUGGUAGAGGGAGCAUGCGAUGUUUGAUCACAUCAAACUUGGAAACACUUCCAACACAUAUCGUCAGCUCACCUUUAGCUAGUCUCCGUUUAUUCCGUAGCUCUUUUAUUUUGAGUUACUAACACUUAGCAACCAAACCGGUACCUAAUACCCUGGUUGAUGUAGGGCAAAACCCUAGUUGGACGAUCUUUCACGUUUGGAGAGGAUCCUACGGAGAUUCACGAAGAACACACGGAAGCACAAAGGGGAAAACACGGGGAGAACGAGAGAGAAUCACGAAACCGACAUAGAAUCAAUCACACGAGUGCUAGAUCACCGAACACAAAGAGAUACACAUGAUCCACAAUCAAAAAAGGCAAGGAUACAAAGGCACCGUUCUUCUCCGCACGGAGGUCUUGAUGGUCUUCCCUAGAAAGGGGUCUUGAAUCCGCUUGGGGGAUCUUCUCCGAAGAGGUCCUGAACUCCGAGGAGAAGUAUCCAAGUGGAUGAGCAAGGCUCUCACACAAAUAUGAGCUAUCCAAUGCUAACCCUAAAACGUACGGGAUGAGAGAGUAUAUACAGUCUACGGGGCGGAAGGGUACACGGGCCGCGGCCCAAGUGGCUGCGCGCAGGAAGGGCCGGAAGUUCCGGGCGCCGGAGGUUCCGGGCAAGGUCCGGCCUAAGCCGAAAGUUGGCACAGGUGAAGCAGGGCUAGCUUCUGGGGGCCGGAAGUUCCGGGCCAGGCCGGAGGUUCUGGGGGCCGGAAGUUCUGGACCAGGUUCCGGGCAGGUUCCGGGCUAAGCAGAAAGUUGGCAUGCCCGGGGUGGUCGAUGUCGAAGGAGGCCGGAAGUUCUGGGCAGGCCGGAAGUUCCGGGCCAGGUUCCGGGCAGGUUCCGGGAUGAGCAGAGAGUUGAUGCCUGUCGCUUCUUCUUCAGCGUUGUACCUGAUCACACACAGAGUUUCCGUCUAAGGUAGUAGCCAUGUCUCGUGAGUAGAAAGAGGGAUUUCAGAGAGGAGCGAGUUCACCUUAUCUUCGAUAGCCUUAGAGCGGGCUCGAGUCAUGGGUCCACGUGGUGUUGAAGGAGAUGUAGAUGCGUCCAUGGGGAUGAGCGAGGGAUGCUCCGCAUCAUCUCCUCCCCCUUGAGAGAGAUCCGACCUCGGAUCAAAAACUUCAUCUCCAUGGUAAGGUGCGAGGUCCUUGACGUUGAAGAUGUCGCUCACAUUGUACUUGUCUCGAGGUAGGUCAAUCUUGUAGGCGUUGUCGUUGUAGCGUGCUAGCACCUUGAAAGGUCCGUCGGCUCGAGGGAGAAGCUUGGACUUGUGUUCGAUGGGGAAGCGGUCCUUGCGAAGGUGUAGCCACACUAGAUCACCAAUGUUGAAGACCAUGGGUUGCUUGUUGAUGUUGAGCUUGGUCGCUAGUCGUUGUUUUGUCGCUCGAUGGUGUGCCUUGUAUCUUCAUGCAUCUUCUUGAUGUAGCUUGCACGGGCACUUGGCGUCGAGGUUGGUUCGCUCUUGUAGAGGAAGAGGUAGGAUGUCCAAUGGGGACAAUGGGUUGAAGCCGUAGACGACCUCGAAGGGGGACUUGCCAGUCGUCGAAUGUCUUGCACGGUUGUAGGCGUACUCGGCGAUGGGUAGGCACUCUUCCCACUCCUUGAUGUUCCUCUUGAUCAACAUGCGAAGUAGAGUGGAGAGUGUAUGGUUCGUCACCUCCGUUUGGCCGUCGGUUUGAGGAUGGUAUGCUGAAGAGAACAAUAGCUUGAUGCCGAGCUUGGCGCAUAGGGUCUUCCAAAAGUAACUCAAGAACUUGACGUCGCGGUCCGAGACAAUUGUCUUUGGCACUCCAUGAAGUCGCAGGAUUUCCCUACAAAAUAGAUUGGCAAUAUGUGAAGCAUCGUCAAUCUUGUUGCAAGGAAUGAAAUGUGCCAUUUUAGAAAAUCUGUCCACAACGACAAACACGGAAUCCUUUCCAUGUUGAGUUCGAGGCAAACCAAGUACAAAAUCCAUACUAAUGUCUUCCCAUGGUUGAUAAGGAAUAGGAAGAGGCAUGUAAAGACCAUGAGAUUGAGCUUUAGACUUAGCUUUGCGACAUGUAGAGCAUCGGGUGGGAAGCGUGAGACGUCGCGGAACAUCUUGGGCCAAAAGUAGUUCUUGGAGAGCGUGGCAAAAGUCUUGUCGCAUCCAAAGUGUCCCAUGAGUCCACCUCCAUGAGCCUCUUGCAAAAGGAGCAAACGAAGAGAAGACUCGGGAAUGCAUAGUUUGUUAGCUCUCAUAAGAUAACCAUCCUUGAUGUAAUAUUGUUCCCAAGAUGUAUGCGUCAAACAUUUAGCAUAAUGAGGUGCAAAAGAUGGAUCAUUAGCAUACAAGUCUUUUAUGUGCUCAAAGCCAAUAACAUUCAACUCAAGUUUAGUGACAAGCGUGCAUAUGCGUGAAAGUGCAUCGGCAACUACAUUUUCCUUACCCUUAAUGUACUUGAUCACAUAUGGGAAAGAUUCAAUAAAUUCACUCCAUUUGGCAUGAUGCUUGUUCAACUUAGUUUGACCUUUUAAGUACUUAAGUGUUUCAUGAUCGGUAAGGAUGACAAACUCAUGAGGUCUAAGAGAAUGUUCCCAAAUAUGUAGGACACGCACUAAAGCAUACAAUUCUUUGUUAUAGAUGGGAUAGUUAAGUUGGGCACCGGAGAGUUUUUCACUAAAAUAAGCAAUGGCUCAUUUUUCUUGCAUCAAAACUCCGCCAAUUCCGGUACCACUUGCAUCACAAUGAACCUCAAAAGUUUUGUCAAAGUUAGGCAAAGCAAGAAUCAGAGCAUGAGUAAGCAAAGACUUGAGCUCAUGAAAAGCGGUUGAUUGCAAAGUUCCCCAAACAAAAGGAGUAUUCUUCUUACUCAAAUCAUGCAAAGGGGCGGCAAUAGUGCUAAAGUUUUUCACAAAGCGACGAUAAAAUCCUACAAGACCAAGAAAACUUCGCACUUGUUGCAAAUUGGUGGGUUGGGGCCAAGUUUUAAUUGCUUCAAUUUUAGUUUCAUCAACAUGGACACCCUUGGAAGAGACAACGAAACCCAAGAAAACCACUUUGUCAACACCAAAUGUGCACUUUUUCAUGUUGGCAUAAAGACUUUCUUUGCGAAGAGUUUGCAAAACAGAUUUAACAUGAUUAAUAUGCUCUUUCAUGGUUUUGCUAAACACAAGAAUAUCAUCAAAGUAAACCACAACAAAGAUUCCAAUGUAAGGUCGAAGUACAUGAUGCAUGAGACGCGCAAAAGUACCGGGAGCCUCCGAUAAACCCAUAGGCAUGACUAACCACUCAUAUAAGCCAAAUUUUGUUUUGAAAGCAGUUUUCCAUUCAUCACCCUCUUGAAUGCGGAUUUGAUAAUAGCCACUUUUAAGAUCAAUUUUGGAGAAAAAGUUGGCUCCACCAAGUUCAUCAACCAUAUCAUCUAAGCGAGGAAUGGGAUGCCUAUAGCAAACGGUGAUAGCAUUUAUAGGUCUACAAUCGGAACACAAACGGAAACUUCCAUCGGGCUUAGGCACAAGUAUAACGGGAACGGCACAAGGGCUUAAGCUUUCACGUACAUGACCGUUGUCGAUUAGCUGUUGUACUUGCCGUUGAAUCUCCUUGGUUUCUUCGGGAUUGACACGGUAUGGAGCUUUGUUUGGAAGUGGCGCUCCGGAUAUGAGGUCGAUUCGAUGCUCAAUUCCUUGUAGAGGAGGUAGACCCAGAGGCAGCUCAUCGGGGAAAACAUCUUGGAAUUCCUGCAAAAAGAUUGAAACACCAAAGGUAGCUUGUGAAUGGUGUUAGUUUUUGGUUCUCCAUCCUUGCACACAAGGACAAAGUGCAUCACACUCGAUGGGUUCUCACACACUUCUCUCAUCUCACUUUUGGUGGCAAAUAGGAUGAGGUUUUUCUCUCUAGGCGAAGAGGCGCUCAAGUUUGGCUUGUGGUUGUCACUCACUUUUUGGUGGGUCACUUUCUCACUCUUCUCUCCAUGAUGGGUGGCUUGCUUGUCGGCUAUCACUUGACUAGGAGACAUAGGUCGUAGCACGUAUUCCUUCCCUUUCAUCUUGAAGCUAUAGUGAUUGGUGCGCCCAUUGUGGAUGACACCACGGUCGAAUUUCCAUGGUCGACCAAGAAGUAGGUGGCAAACUGUCAUUGGGACCACAUCACACUCCAAAGUGUCUUCAUAAGCACAAAUUUUGAAGGAUACUUGGACCGUAUGCUUAACUCAUAUAGUGCCGGAGUCACUUAGCCAUUGAACCUUGUAGGGGUGUGGGUGCUUCCUCUUGACCAAUUGAAGCUUGGAGCAUAGUUCUUCACUUGCCAAGUUGUGGAAACUACCUCCAUCGAUGAUGACCUUGACGGACCUUCCAUUGAUGCCGGCCUUAGUGUGGAAGAUGUGGCAUCGUUGGUCUUCUUCUUGUUGAUGUUGAAGUGUCAAGACUUUGGAUACAACGAGAGCGGGGCUUGAAUCCUCAUCACAAAAUACUUGAUCAUCUUCAUCCUCGUUCAUGCGCCGGUGCAUGGCGACUUGCUCAAGGGCUUCCAUCUCCUCUUCACUCAUGGAGUCAUAUGUGCCAUCUUCGUUGAGGAUCAUGGUGCGCUUGUUCAUGCAUUGAUAGGACUUGUGGCCUCGGUCGCCGCAAGUGAAACACUUGAAGGAGCUUGUCUUGACGGUCUCACCGGUUGGAGUAGAUGAUGAAGCACGCGGCUUGAAGUUGCUUGUAUUAGGAGGAAGACGACUUGAACUUGACGAAGUUUUCCUGUAACUUGACUUGUCGUCAUUGCUUGGAGAAGGUUUGGUUGACGUAGAUGUUGGAGGAGUUGUUAAAGCUUGGAUGUUGGAGAAACCGUAUGUCUUGGAUGAGUACUUGGCGUACUUGAAGUCAUCUUGCACUUGACGUUCCGCUUUUGUAGCUUGAUGCACGAGCUCAAUGAGGUUGGAGUAGGGUUGGAAGUCGGCAAUCUUCUUGAUGGGAUGAUUGAGACCAUUCAAGAAACGUGCCAUUGUUUGCUCAUCAUCUUCCGUGACAUUGGCUCGAAUCAUGGCAAUCUCCAUUUCCUUGUAGUAUUCUUCAUUACUCUUUGUUUCUUGCUUGAGGAGUUGUAGCUUCUUGAAGAGAUCGCGAUUGUAGUAGGUUGGUACAAAACGUGCUCGCAUGACUUCCUUCAUUUGAGCCCAAGUGGUGAUAGGUGGUUCACCUCUUGUUUCACGGCGCUCAAGGACUUGUUCCCACCAUAUGAGCACAUAGUCUUGGAACUCAAGUGAUGACAUAGCGAUCUUCUUCUCUUCCUCAUAGUUGUGCAAGCGGAAAAUUUUGUCGACCUUCAAUGCCCAUGAGAGGUAUUCUUCGGGAUCAUUGCUUCCAUUGAACUUGGGCAUUGUGAAUUUGAGUUUUCCAUAGCGUUGCUCUUCAUUGUGUUGUUGGCGAUGGUGAUGAUGACGCCCUUGACGUGGAGGAUAGUCAUCCUCAUGUUGCUCUUGUUGCGGAUGAAGACCAUGAUCAACUUGCUCUUGUUGAGCUUGAGGUUGAGGUGGAUCUUGACGAGCUUGUGGAGGAGCUUGUGGAGCUUGACGUGCUUGUGGAGGAGCUUGUGGUGCCCUAUAUAAAGUGAAUGUGGUUGUCUCUAAUGCCUAACCCAUAAACGAUAGUGGUAAUUCGAUAAGAGACAUCAUGGUAUGCACCAUAUCCAAUAAGGUGCAACUAUGAUGUUCGGACACACCAUCACACUAUGGUGUUCCAGGCGGUAUCAAUUGUGAAACAAUUUCCACAAUGUCUUAAUUGCGUGCCAAAGCUCGUAACUCAGAUACUCAUCUCUAUGAUCAUAUCAUAGACAUUUUAUCCUCUUGUCACGAUGAUCUUCAACUUCACUCUGAAAUUACUUGAACCAUUCAAUAAUUCAGACUUGUGUUUCAUCAACUAAAUAUACUCAACAUCUACUCGAAUCACCCGUGAAGUAAGAACAUAACGAUAUCCACUGCGUGCCUGGGCACUCAUUGGACUGCACACAUCAAAAUGUAUUACUUCCAACAAGUUGCUUUCUCGUUCCAUUUUACUGAAAAUGAGGCUUUCAGUCAUCUUGCCCAUGUGGUAUGAUUUGCAUGUCUCAAGUGAUUCAGAAUCAAGAGAGUCCAAACGAUCCAUCUGCCCAUGAGAGGUAUUCUUCGGGAUCAUUGCUUCCGUUGAACUUGGGCAUUGUGAAUUUGAAUUUUCUGUAGCGUUGCUCUUCAUUGUGUUGUUGGCGAUGGUGAUGAUGACGCCCUUAACGUGGAGGAUAGUCAUCCUCAUGUUGCUCUUGUUGCGGAUGAAGACCAUGAUCAACUUGCUCUUGUUGAGCUUGAGGUUGAGGUGGAUCUUGACGAGCUUGUGGAAGAGCUUGUGGAGCUUGACGUGCUUGUGGAGGAGCUUGUGGAGCUUGACGUUGCACAUUCGGUUGAUAGUUCCUCUCUUGGAUUUCUUCUCGAAGAGCUUCCUCUUGAUUGCGCCGUUCGCGAUUGCGGUUGGCGAUGGCUCGACUUGAUUCUUGAAGGGCACGUUGCGCCUCAAGAGCUUGCGCUUCUCGUUGUUGUUGUUGAAGACGUUGAGCCUCGGCGUCUUGUUCCUCUUGGUGUAGACGCGCUUGUUCUUCUUCUUGGCGUCGUAGUCAUUGUCGUUCUUGAGCUUGAGCAAAAGCGACUUGGUUUGAUUGAGGACGAGGAACUUGCUCAUCAACUUGCUCUUGGGAAUGCUUGUCAUGUAGCGGGUUCCGAGAUGCAUGUCGGUCUUGACGCGCGGCUCGUCGAAGAAUGGUCGAUGACGGUGUACUUGAGCCGGAGAAGGUGUCAUCGGAGUGUCGACUCGAGCGGCUCCGUCUUGACGGUGAAGAAGUGAAAUGAUGCCUGUUCCUCAUCAAGGCGCGGAUCUCGUCCAUUCUUGCAUCAUUCUCUUGCUUGUGGGAGUCGAACUUGUUGUCGAAGUAGUCUCUUGUACGUUGCUCGGAGAGUCGCAAGUCGGUGGCGAGGUUGUCGAUGCGGUCGCUCAUAGCUUGUUGCUCUUAGUGUAACGCCCUUUGCGCAUCAAAGAGGUGGCUCUUUGUGACGAAUGAUGACAUGUCGUCGCCGUUCUCGAUGAGAGGUGGAUUUGUAGAAGAACUUGGCCUAUCCAUCAUUCCAAACAAAAUGUGAGUGGUAGAAGGAAAAGAACGUGUACCAAAUGUACCUUGACCGAAAUUGAAAAUGAAUCAAGUUCACUCCAAUGCGGACAAUGAAAUAGCACUUUUGGUACCAAUUCUUGUCGGUUCGCACACCUACACACGUAAAAGCUUUUGGUGGAGCUUGGUUAGGAUGGUGGCACAAAAUUUGAUGCAAUAGUAAGUGAGCUUCAAUAAUGUUGGAAAAGGUUCACAAAUUUGCAAAUGCAACAAGUAGACCAAGCAAGUAUGGGUACACGGAAACACACACGCAAAUAGAUAAGUGGGAUUGUGCAAUCCAAAAGUGAGCCAAAAUGUGGAAACCACGAAAAUGCUCUUGUUGCACAAUACUAGAGAGACGCUAGCACGAUUGCACAAUAGGAGGAUACGCAAACUUGUGCACAACCUACUAGGCAAAAUUGCAACUAUCUCUAUCCCAAGUAUGCUAUAUGUAUGGUAUUUCGGUGCAAUGAUCCAAGAUGAUCCAAUAUGACAAUCUUAAUGUAGUAUGAUGCUAUGGUUCUUGUUCAUAAGCUCUUUGCUUAUCUUUCCUCUUUUGCUUAAAAGCUUGGGUGGCUCUUUCACUCUUUGAGCUCUUUUCUUAUGCAAAACUUUACGAACCAAGAUAGCAAUUGUGUAUGCUAUGACAACUUUGUGACACACAAGUGGAUCCCAAGAUAUGCACCACUAUGGUAUGGUAUGUAUGCUUAUGGAGUAUGAUCCCUAAUGUGCACAAGUCACAUUGCCUGCAAUACUCAAUGGCUAGUCUCGAUGGGUAAGCUACGCAAAAUGAGGCAAUGUGGGUUAUCAAUGCAAUUGCAAGGUAUGACAAAGAUGUCGUUGAUGUUACCGUCCUUGCUUCGGUUGAAGGUUGAAACGGAUGCGAAAGUAGAUGGGGACGCAGUGCACGGUCUUCGGUACGUUGGCGAAGAUGCCGCUGCACCUAGAUCGAAGUUUCCAAAGUAGCGAAAGUGUCGAAGAAGUGCACCCUUUCUAUCUAGGCCGGAAGUUCCGGGCAAGACGGAAGUUCCGGGGUCCGGAAGUUUCAGGGACGGCCGGAAGGUCCGGGGGUCGGGAUUCUGCCAAGAACAGAGACUUCGAGCUCGUGGAUUUGGGCGGAAAAACUUGGGGAAAACCCCAAAUCCGAGGGGGAAAAGAAGAAAUUAGAAGGUAGGAAGGGCAGGGAAGCUAGAUCCACUCGAAACAAAGCAAAUCCAUGGAUGAAAUCCAACAAAAUCUUGACUCACCAACAAAUCACAAAAAAAAAA
This 41223-nucleotide long non-coding RNA is filed under the name Triticum aestivum (bread wheat). RNAcentral's name for it is "long non-coding RNA (TAES_LNC015714)". Lineage: Eukaryota; Viridiplantae; Streptophyta; Magnoliopsida; Poales; Poaceae. The record is from RNAcentral.